Molecule: ribosomal RNA, 259 nt
Filed under: uncultured Methanomicrobiales archaeon
Lineage: Archaea; Methanobacteriati; Methanobacteriota; Methanomicrobia; Methanomicrobiales
Description: partial 16S ribosomal RNA
Rfam family: Archaeal small subunit ribosomal RNA
Source: RNAcentral
CCGGAUGGAGGGACACUGUUGGACCGCCUCUGCUAAAGGAGGAGGAAGGGAAUGGGCAACGGUAGGUCAGCAUGCCCCGAAUUAAUUGGGCUACACGCGGGCUACAAUGGGUGGGACAAUGGGUAUCGACACCGAAAGGUGAAGGCAAUCUCCUAAACCCAUCCGUAGUUCGGAUUGUGGGCUGCAACUCGCCCACAUGAAGCUGGAAUCUGUAGUAAUCGUGUUUCAAAAUAGCACGGUGAAUAUGUCCCUGCUCCUU